Molecule: ribosomal RNA, 612 nt
Filed under: Penicillium lagena
Lineage: Eukaryota; Fungi; Ascomycota; Eurotiomycetes; Eurotiales; Aspergillaceae
Description: eukaryotic LSU rRNA
Rfam family: Eukaryotic large subunit ribosomal RNA
Source: RNAcentral
AUAUCAAUAAGCGGAGGAAAAGAAACCAACAGGGAUUGCCUCAGUAACGGCGAGUGAAGCGGCAAGAGCUCAAAUUUGAAAGCUGGCUCCUUCGGGGUCCGCAUUGUAAUUUGCAGAGGAUGCUUCGGGAGCGGCCCCCAUCUAAGUGCCCUGGAACGGGCCGUCAUAGAGGGUGAGAAUCCCGUAUGGGAUGGGGUGCCCGCGACCAUGUGAAGCUCCUUCGACGAGUCGAGUUGUUUGGGAAUGCAGCUCUAAAUGGGUGGUAAAUUUCAUCUAAAGCUAAAUAUUGGCCGGAGACCGAUAGCGCACAAGUAGAGUGAUCGAAAGAUGAAAAGCACUUUGAAAAGAGAGUUAAAAAGCACGUGAAAUUGUUGAAAGGGAAGCGCUUGCGACCAGACUCGCCCGCGGGGUUCAGCCGGUAUUCGUACCGGUGUACUUCCCCGCGGGCGGGCCAGCGUCGGUUUGGGCGGCCGGUCAAAGGCCCUCGGAAUGUAACGCCUCUCGGGGCGUCUUAUAGCCGAGGGUGCCAUGCGGCCAGCCCGGACCGAGGAACGCGCUUCGGCACGGACGCUGGCAUAAUGGUCGUAAGCGACCCGUCUUGAAACACGGACC